This 223-nucleotide long non-coding RNA is filed under the name Vigna radiata. Its description in RNAcentral is "long non-coding RNA (VRAD_LNC014697)". The record is from RNAcentral. Lineage: Eukaryota; Viridiplantae; Streptophyta; Magnoliopsida; Fabales; Fabaceae.
GGGAAAGGUGGAAUUGGAGAAGGAGAAAUGACUCUCAGAUGCUUAGGGAGGGGGAGAGGAACAAUAUUCUCACGCGAAAAAAAAAUUGGCAGAAUGGCAGAGGGAAAUCCCAAAUUUGAUUUCAUUAAGUCGAUGCCUAUACCGAUGGUCAAAAGCCUUCGAUAAAUUCAGUUCCAUUUACCGACGGUCAAAAGCCGUCUGUAAUCAUCAUUUCACGUGCCCC